GAAUGUAUUUCUGAUUUUAUUAAGAAUAUUUUAUGGGGUCUCUUUAUAUAAGAUACGGACUUGAACAUUGCAUUAUAUGGGGGCACCCAUCAGAUAUUUCCAACCGUGACCUCCAAAACCAAUUGUUAAACUUGUCUAAAAUUGCUCCAUUUGUAAUCUAUUAAUGUAUGUAUGGACCUUCUAUUUCGAAUAUUUUGUAAAAAUAUUUUUGAUGUUUCUCUAUCGUAAAUACGGACUUUGUCAUAACCUUAUAUUGGGCGUACCUAUUUUAUAUCCACAACUUCCUUCAGACACUUGUCAUAACUUAAUGAAUCUUUUUUUUUUCAGAUUCCUUAUCAUUUAAUUCAAUU
RNAcentral lists this long non-coding RNA (350 nucleotides) under Mytilus galloprovincialis (Mediterranean mussel). Lineage: Eukaryota; Metazoa; Mollusca; Bivalvia; Mytilida; Mytilidae. The record is from RNAcentral.